CUAUACUCUUACUAUGUAGCUAGAUGGCAUAUGCUAACCUUGUUCAAGAUUGAUCAUCAGUGGCUAGAGUACGUACUACUUUUGCAGAUGUUCAAUGCUUCAUAUAUAUCAAACAGAAAUGGAUUCUGUGUUGGGAACCUUGGAUGGAGAAAAAGCCAAGAAGAUGAGGACGCUCAUGAUUAAGACUGGAACAAAGCAAAGAGAAGGAAGAGUGGUGGCGGUGGCAAUGGUGGCAGAACAAGCGGCAGUACCAGAAGGAAGAAAGUAAAAACAACCAUGACCAUAAUUGAUGUUAGACUGAAAAACUUUAACAUCAAAAUCAUCGCCGGCUGCUGCUGAUAAUCAUCUCUCUGAAACCACAUAUACCAUCGUUGUUAGAACUCGUGCAUCCUUCUUCCUCUUCUUCUUCUUCUUCUUCU
This 419-nucleotide unclassified non-coding RNA is filed under the name Hevea brasiliensis (rubber tree). Lineage: Eukaryota; Viridiplantae; Streptophyta; Magnoliopsida; Malpighiales; Euphorbiaceae. The record is from RNAcentral.